This 253-nucleotide ribosomal RNA is filed under the name uncultured bacterium. Its description in RNAcentral is "partial 16S ribosomal RNA". It matches the Rfam family "Bacterial small subunit ribosomal RNA", at positions 524 to 776 of the family's 1533-position model. The record is from RNAcentral.
UACGUAGGUGGCAAGCGUUGUCCGGAUUUAUUGGGUUUAAGGGGUGCGUAGGCGGUCUUAUAAGUCAGUGCUGAAAUAUCCCGGCUUAACCGGGAGGGUGGCAUUGAUACUGUAGGACUUGAGUAAAGUUGAGGUUGGCGGAAUUGACGGUGUAGCGGUGAAAUGCUUAGAUAUCGUCAAGAACACCGAUAGUGUAGACAGCUAACUAAGCUUUAACUGACGCUGAGGCACGAAAGUGUGGGGAUCAAACAGG